CUCUUUCCUCUCAUUUUCAAUUUUCUACUUUUUUAUAUUUUUCCUUUUAUGUUUAUAAUUUUUCGUAAAAAUAUUUGGAGGCUGCUGAAAUAUUCUACCAGUAAUAUUUGACAAGGGAGCUCUUCCGUCCUGGAUCCCAGAGGAUGAGAAAAUCCGACAGUAGUCAUUAUGGUAAAGGCAAGACCAUCAUGCAAGAGGUAGAGAGACACGAUGGUCAGGGGCAGGAGACAAAGGGGAAAAAUUUAGAACCUGCACCAGAUGAAGAGUAUGCACGACAGCAGCUUCAAAACCACAAUCAACGCCAAGGUUGCGAUGUUCAGGUUGAAGAUCGAUUUGGAAACAGAAAAUUGCGUCAUUUGUAUGGGAAGGAGAAUUCAUUUUGAUAGAGCGUAAUGAAUAUGGCCAUCCAGAUAAUGAAUCAAGCGGAUUGUUGGGAUGUUUCAUUGCAACUAUUGCAAAAAAUCCUAGGAUAUGUUCUAUUGGAUUUGAUCGGUGGUCAAAGUUUCCAAAAAGAAAGAAGGAUGAAGUUUUUAAAAAUAUCCUUAAGAUGAGGUUGAAAAAUGGUGCCUAAAAAAGAUGGGAUAUGGUUGGAGACAAGGAAGAUUGGACCUGUGGAGUUUAUAUCAAGAUGGAACUAAGACAAGGCGGCAACUGCUAGCAGAUCCUCCAAAGAACAUCCCAAUCGAGGAUUGGGAAAAAUUAGUGGAUUAUUUUUUAAAUCCCAAAGUAAGGAGACAGCAAAAUCCAACAAGAAGCAUAAAGCACAUCAGGUUAUUUUCUACCCCGGAAGAUCAGAAAUGAAUACCAGAAAAAAUAAGGAGCUGGAUAAAAUGUGUGAGAACCAAUCUCAAGUGGGCUCAUGUGAUGAAGAAGCAGCGGAUAACAUGUCAUAUGAAAUAUUUACACAAAUUGUGGGCUCAAGGUGAACGUGUUUGUGGUUUGGGCAUAGGUCCUACCUCAUUUAUAAUGACUAGUUCUGCUUCUCGAGUUUCUGGAUCAAAUUCUGCUACAAGAUAUGCCCCAAAUGUGAGGAUGGCGCAAUUGGAACAGGAGAACUUGCGCAACAGAGAAAUGAUUGCGAGAAUGCAACAAAGGAAAGACCAAAUGCAAAGUCAAAUUGACCAGUUGUGGAAUUAUAUCAAGCAAACAGGUGGUCAACCAUCUAAUCUGUUCCACGGUGAUCAUGGGCGAUGAGUAUCUUGUGUGUUGCUAUGAGGAAGAGGAUGUUUUUUGUAUGAUUUGAAGACUCUCAUUUAAACUUUGUGUGGCUAUUAUUAUUGCUUUUGUGAACUUAA
Molecule: long non-coding RNA, 1295 nt
Organism: Prosopis cineraria
Lineage: Eukaryota; Viridiplantae; Streptophyta; Magnoliopsida; Fabales; Fabaceae
Exons: 7
Source: RefSeq, a predicted model, not a curated record